GACGAACGCUGGCGGCGUGCCUAAUACAUGCAAGUUGAGCGCUGAAGGUUGGUACUUGUACCAACUGGAUGAGCAGCGAACGGGUGAGUAACGCGUGGGGAAUCUGCCUUUGAGCGGGGGACAACAUUUGGAAACGAAUGCUAAUACCGCAUAAAAACUUUAAACACAAGUUUUAAGUUUGAAAGAUGCAAUUGCAUCACUCAAAGAUGAUCCCGCGUUGUAUUAGCUAGUUGGUGAGGUAAAGGCUCACCAAGGCGAUGAUACAUAGCCGACCUGAGAGGGUGAUCGGCCACAUUGGGACUGAGACACGGCCCAAACGCCUACGGGAGGCAGCAGUAGGGAAUCUUCGGCAAUGGACGAAAGUCUGACCGAGCAACGCCGCGUGAGUGAAGAAGGGUUUCGGAUCAUAAAACUCUGUUGGUAGAGAAGAACGUUGGUGAGAGUGGAAAGCUCAUCAAGUGACGGUAACUACCCAGAAAGGGACGGCUAACUACGUG
Molecule: ribosomal RNA, 497 nt
Filed under: uncultured bacterium
Lineage: Bacteria
Description: partial 16S ribosomal RNA
Rfam family: Bacterial small subunit ribosomal RNA
Source: RNAcentral